UACGUAGGGGGCUAGCGUUGUCCGGAAUCAUUGGGCGUAAAGCGCGUGUAGGCGGCCCGGUAAGUCCGCUGUGAAAGUCGGGGGCUCAACCCUCGAAAGCCGGUGGAUACUGUCGGGCUCGAGUCCGGGAGAGGUGAGUGGAACUGCGAGUGUAGAGGUGAAAUUCGUAGAUAUUCGCAAGAACACCAGUGGCGAAGGCGGCUCACUGGCCCGGACUGACGCUGAGGUGCGAAGCGUGGGGAGCAAACAGGAUAGAA
Molecule: ribosomal RNA, 257 nt
Filed under: uncultured bacterium
Lineage: Bacteria
Description: partial 16S ribosomal RNA
Rfam family: Bacterial small subunit ribosomal RNA
Source: RNAcentral